Molecule: long non-coding RNA, 385 nt
Organism: Alexandromys fortis (reed vole)
Lineage: Eukaryota; Metazoa; Chordata; Mammalia; Rodentia; Cricetidae
Exons: 3
Source: RefSeq, a predicted model, not a curated record
UCUUGUUUCUCCCCGCCCCUCACUGGGCCCCACCCCCUGCACGCUGAGCUGGAAAGCUUUUCCACCGGACGUGGCGCCAAAGGGAGAAGGGGCACCCAUGAACGACAGAAGGGAAAGGAUAUCCACCGAAGGUGCUAAGGGGCCUCAUCAAUAGUCCAAGGGGUUCAAGAGGUGGCUCAGUGGUUAAGAGCACCGUCUUCUCUUCUAGAGGUCCUGAGUUCAAUUCUCAGCAGCCACAUGGCAGCUCACAACCAUCAAUAAUGGAUCCGACGCCCUCUUCUGACCGAGUGACAAGCACUGUCCAGCUGCUCCUCUGGAAUCAUGUCCUCCAGAGGACUUUGCCAUCUGCUUUGCUCCCGGACCUGGAGGUGACAGUUGUCAGUCA